Long non-coding RNA from Bufo bufo (common toad), 140 nucleotides. RefSeq lists it as uncharacterized. The transcript is spliced from 3 exons. The record is from RefSeq and is a predicted model, not a curated record. Lineage: Eukaryota; Metazoa; Chordata; Amphibia; Anura; Bufonidae.
CAAUGCAAUCGCAUACAAAACUCAACCCACUCGCAGGCAAAAUAGCACGAUUUUACAGCGACGCACCCGCAUCCUAUCCGUCCCUUACACGCGACGCCCGUGUGAAAGAGGCCUAAGGGUUAAGAGGGGUUGUAACCAGG